GGAUUGUGGCUCAGUGGUAGAGCGCUUGCCUCGCAUGUGUGAGGCACUGAGUUCAAUCCUCAACACCA
RNAcentral lists this transfer RNA (68 nucleotides) under Marmota monax (woodchuck). Its description in RNAcentral is "tRNA.Ala". The stretch from base 5 to 65 matches the Rfam family "tRNA", at positions 6 to 65 of the family's 71-position model. From Rfam's summary of the family: Transfer RNA (tRNA) molecules are approximately 80 nucleotides in length. Their secondary structure includes four short double-helical elements and three loops (D, anti-codon, and T loops). Further hydrogen bonds mediate the characteristic L-shaped molecular structure. tRNAs have two regions of fundamental functional importance: the anti-codon, which is responsible for specific mRNA codon recognition, and the 3' end, to which the tRNAs corresponding amino acid is attached (by aminoacyl-tRNA synthetases). tRNAs cope with the degeneracy of the genetic code in two manners: having more than one tRNA (with a specific anti-codon) for a particular amino acid; and 'wobble' base-pairing, i.e. permitting non-standard base-pairing at the 3rd anti-codon position. The record is from RNAcentral. Lineage: Eukaryota; Metazoa; Chordata; Mammalia; Rodentia; Sciuridae.